UUAAAUUCUUCCUGGUGGCUUAGCAGCAUCGAUGCUGAGGGCAGGAAGAAGUGUGCUAUAUUCACAGCAUACAACAUUUCAGAAGAGCUUAGGGCACCUAAAGAGACCAGGACAUGUUCCAGGCUGCGGCUGACAGACGUCUGUAGGUGUGUGUGUUUGUAUGACUGCACGCACACAGCACACAGCCUGCAUUUCCCAUCCCUGCCCAAGCCAUGGGAGCCACAGGUACCCAAGGUGUUGCACGCAAGCCAAGUCGAGGAAGAUGCUCUGAGCAAUAACUGUGGUGCUGCUGUGCUCCCUCUGCUCUUGGCAAGCUCUGGUGGCUGCUUUAGGGCUUCUGUAAUGAAGCUGAAGCCCAAACAGAUUUGAGCCCCCCUUGAACGGAGAAGCUGCAGCUCUUAGUACUGGACAGCUACUCGUUAUAGGGUGUCGUUGAAAAAUAGCAACUAAUUUUUUUAAAAUCCUAAUUUAUAGGGCAUCUCUUGUAUGUGGUUUCCUAGAGGAACACUUGUUAGUUGAAAGCAAAAACAGUACAGCUGAAGUGCUUCCAUUUUUAGCUUAUCUAAUUCUGGGAAAGUCUUAUAUAGCUGAGUUGAAAACUGAAGACUAGACAUAAAGAUCUUUUUUCUACCCGCAAUUGCUACUCCAAGUUAUUUCUGAUGAGUUAAGCUGGCAAAUUCUACGUUGAAGCACAAGCUGGAGAUCUCUGUGGGGCUCAGUUUACCAACACAGGCCGUGUACUGAGCUAUUCCAAAAAGCGUGAUAUUAAAUUCACCAGCCAGCAUGGCCCCAGUGCGGCGGGUUGGAGCAUCUCUGCUGUUUUACUGUGCUGCUGGUGGCCGGGACAUCCUUGCCACUUGGGCUUGGAUGCUCUGUAGUGAGCGUUCCCCUCCUUGCUUGGGUAGAGGAGUGGGGUGGCGGUGAGAUUUGUCUCCUUUUAAAGCAGGAGCUGCUGUAGUUGAGGUGGCCAGAUAUCGGCCUGGGGAUCCAGCUGCAGAUGGAUGGUUAGAAACCUCUGGCUGGUGCGGGAGGUCAAAUCACACAGCCUCUCCUCUCAUCAGUUCUAGCACAUUGCGCGAGCUUGAAUUCUACAUGCCAGUAAUGUGACCAAAGCUGCAUUCUGAGGUUGGACUUCGCUUUUGGGUAAGCUGAUAUUAAGUUAAAAUUGAUAGACAGCGUUACCAAAACGGCUUGGAUGGCUGUGCUUUGUGCUCGCUGCUUCCUCUGUCCCACUUCUCUGCUGCUGGCAGCUGACGGCACAGCUGGGCAGGCGCUUCCCCAGGUGGCACGGCUGAUCCCAAGCUCUUCGUGUGCUGGCCAUGGGCUCCAAGGCGGCUCGGCUGCUCUCCCAGCUCUGCUUUGCCUUACCCUGGGCUCUGACACUCUCAAGGUAAGCCCUGAUUGCUUCAGGUCCACUGAAAGAGCAGAGCAGGAUGUGUUGGUGACACAGUCCGGGGCUUGGAUCUGAAGGUGAUGCCAAUCUGCAAGUCCCUGAGCAUGCCUCACGGUGUCAGGGCUGCCUGGUGUUGCACUGGGAUCUUGUUUUGCCUUUAUUUUUAUAAAAUACAUUGGUAUAUUUUGUCUUUUUGUGAGAUGCUGAUAGUUGGUUCUCUCACGCCACCCCAGUCUUUUUUUAGCACCCCACCCCAAUCUUUUUUUUGCCCAUUUUAGUUCUUCAUGUGCUGUGCAAGUGGCUAAUUGAAGCGUAUCCUUCGACGUAGAUGACAAACAGGCAGUGAAAAAUGUAGUGUUUAUUUUUCAGGGCAGGCUUCUGAUAAUUUUACAGUCCGGAGACUUUAGCCCUGUCAUUUCUGAUUCUACCUGCAAGAGAACAGUCACGCCAGAAUUUCUUCCUCUGCAUCCAAAAUAAUUUUCCAAGUAUUGAGACUAAUAAAACACUACAAAACUAUUAAACUGGAAUCCAACCACAAUGGAAACAGCUGUUUUAUGAACUAAAGAAGAAAGGGACUGACGUGAACCCAGGGUUUCCUACUGCAUUUAUAGAUGCACCUUCAUCAGGAGCAGCACCUGCUGCGUGCUGGGCUCUGGGCUGUGACUCCUGCUGGUGUUUUUUUGGCACUGGAGGCUGAGUACGGAGUGAAAUCUGCUCAUAUAUACCCAGAGCAGGAGUGUAAGCUGUUGUGGCCAGUUCUGGACUAGUGAUGUCUCAAUUCUACAAGACAAUUGUGUGAGUAUUUGGAAGAAAUAUGCGGGGUACAAUGAGGAGUCAAGAGUUUCUUUGAGUUACUAUGACCGAUAGGAAAGGCUAGCCUCCAGCAAGGCGCCAGUGCUCGGGGCAUACACAGCCACAUUACUUGUGCAAAUGCAACUUGAAACUUGAAAUAUUGGGUUUUGAUGCAGAAUUAAUAGCUCUGAGAGUUUCCCAGAAAUUUCACGUGCUAAAUUUUAGCUCAAAAUCCUUUAGAUUGCCUUUAAGCUGUUGAGGGAAACGGUUUAUUAAUGGAAACACGAAAUGCUAACACCAGUGUAGUGAGGAGCAGAGAUGAAAUGUCUCUGAAGAGAAAAUGCAGGGUCUAGAGGUAGAAAAACAAUUUUUUAAGCAAGCACUUUUUCAAAGGCUGAGGUUUUUUUGAAAACAAUUUGGUGCCAAAAGCUUAACCUGUUUUUCAUAAACAUGGUUACUGGUUGGAGCCAAAACAAACAAUUAAGGUCCUUAAAUGAACCUAAGUGAGGAAUUAUAGCUCCCCUCGCCGAAUGCUAAAAAUUGUGAGUGUGGCCGAGCUGCUGAAAGGAAGUUCAGUGGUGGGACGGGGGGCGUGCAAGGCUUCCUGCUCACGCCUCCCUCCGUCUUGCUUUCCUUGGAGGUACAUAGCAGAGAUGCUUUAGCCGUGAGGCUUUGGGGUGAUCGUGCUCAAAUCUGGGAACGGAGGUGGCUCUGACUUGACAGAAGUGGAAGGAAAGCCAUUAGCAACUGCACUGCACGUGAGCCCAAGGCGUGACCGUGUGGAUGUCUUGAAGCACUGCCUCCCCUCCCUGCUUUCUGCACAUACGCGGCCCACCUCGGGUUGGUAGAAGUCUUGUGGAGGGCAGCCAGGUUUGUGGAGUGGAUCUGGGGGAGCAGGAAGACUCGGGUCUGCGGGGAUCUUGGGCGAGUCAUUCUGCUUUGGUGCUUUGAUCCACUCUGGAAGGCAGAGGGCUUCCAGUUAGAAGCAAAAUCCCUCCAUUGUGGACAAAUAUUUGGGAUUUCUGAGGGACGCUGCGUCCUCGUAGUGUUUCAGUCAUCCGUGUGCUCCUUCCUUGGCAGGUUAGAGAUGCUGGACAUGAAGGUUACACACCAGCAAGUUGCAGAGGAUUGUUUUCUCAUCUGUUCUGUAGUCCCAAGUUCAGAAAGGACAGCCAGGUGGGGCUUACUCACACCCGUGAAGUGAACUGGAGUUUGAAGCUAACUCGGUAUUAACCUAAAUAAACAAACCAGUGGUGGUGGCUGUUUUGUGUUUUUCCUCUACUGUCUGUGAGGGAAGUGUCAGGCUGCAUUAUUUGCGAGCUGCUGCAGAGAUUGGACUUCUGCAUGACAUCUUCACCUCAUAAAUGCCUCGCUGCAGAAAGAGGAAUAGCUGGCACUUUUUUCUUUUCCAAUCCUGCGACUCCCACAGCCGUACCCUGGUGAUCUGAGUGCGCUGGGUGGCAGCCGUUGGCAGCCGGGAGAUCUUCGCAGGGCGACUUUGCAGGAAGUACGCUGAGACAAAUCAGCUGGAUGCGUGCUCGGGUAACUUAUAAACAAAAUAUUUGCCUUUAAACAUUAACCAAAAAGGAAAUGAAGCAAGGAAAUGUUAGUAAUCCUCCUUAAGGAGUGCAAGGAACAAUGUCAGUGUUGAUUUUUUUCAAAAAAACAACAUCAUUGCUGCCUGUUAAAAUACCAGCAUAUUGUUUUUUAGCGGAUGCAGCGCUUUCACCCACACCACAGAAUUCCUAUACAGUGAGUAUACCUGCUGCUUGUUGAUACAGCACUGCUUUGGCAUCUUAAAAAUGAGCCUUUUCCUCAAAAUGUAGGACCUAAAUCAUAGCUUCAGGAUCUGCGCGUGGCUGGAGAAGCCUGGCUGAAGAGGGCAGGUGAGGCUCACAGGGCAGCGAUAUGUGGAGAGCCUUCUUACUUGGGGGGCUCGGGCGGGUUUGUGAAGCUUGAUGGACGGCAGCUGCACCCACAUCUACGUCCUAAAUCUUCCAGACACGUUGUCCACUACAGCAAGAGGCUGUGUUUGCCCAGAGCCUGGCAGGGUGGUGGAUGCGGUGAAUGCUGGAGAGCUGCGUCCCAGCUGCGCCUGUGAUCUGAGCAAAAGCCAAAGGGUCUGGCCUGAUCCCCCUGCGGCUCCUGGAUGUUCCCAUGUGGGUACUCCUGGGCCAUGUCCCUCUUCAGCUGCUGGCUUCUGUUAAAACUCCAAUUUGAGCAUGUUCAUUAAAAAAGAAGGUUACCUCUCACUGUGCCCUCAGCUGCUGGGGGAGCCCUGCUGAUAAGGAAGGCUCCAUAUGCAUGUAGCGAAGGCAUUUGCAGCAUUGGGUUUGCUGUUUGGUGUGUGUAUGUAGGCUGGCUUUUCCUUAGUGAAACGGGACCUGGUGUUGUUCAUGUUCCUAGUUGCAACAGCCAAAUGACAGAACUGUUUCUAAUAGUUGCAGCAGGGAGAAAUCAGAUGGCAGUAUCAGUGAGAGCAGUGACUGAGCAAGUGCUUAAACCUGGAGGAGAGUAAACCUCGAUGAAUGCAGACGAAUUGCACAUAUUUAGAGGCACUUCAAAGAAGCUUUUGCCUAGCUGUCGUAGGAGCAAAUAUCAGUGUGAAUUUCAUGUUGGGCUGCUUCGGCAGUUACAACUUGCAGACAAACCAUCAUGUUCCCUGCUCCUGUCGCCCCCCCCACUGACAGAGGUUACCCUGGUUGCACCAGUAGGGCCCCUGCAAGGGAUCCUUGGCAGAGCACAAGAAAAUUUUUGAAAUAUUUGUCAACUUCUUUGGAAAGCAGCUUUGUCUGUUUGCUGUCACUUCGUUUUGGAAGUUGAUGUUGGGCUCCUUAGCAUCCAGAAACAAAUGACGAGCUGAGUGCUGGACUUGCUGCAGUUACGCGAUGGUGAGUUGGGAUGGUUUUGUCUCUCCAAAGGAAGGAGGGGCUUCUCCCUCUGUUUUGGGGUUUUGGCACACGUUACCAAAAUAUUUGCAGUGCUGUAACAUGCAUUAUUUCAUCUGGAAAGUGGGAAGUAAGACAUAUUUGUUCCUAUAUGUAAAUAGUCUUUAGGAAAAAAAGCUCACCAAGAAGUUGGCUUUGUAAACCCAGUCUGCUUUGCUCCUCCUCGCAGUGUGAGUUUCUGCCAACUCUGCUUUGGGGGAAGGCACGUGCCCUUCCAGGUCAUCUCAGGGCCUAACAAAAGGGGUUUGCAGCUCUCCCCCUGUCCUUGUAGGAGUAGACGAGCCCUGGUAAAUGGCGUUACCCCAGUGCAGCCGUGGCGGUGACCUUCUUAGGAAAUGCCGGUCGUGCCAGAGCACAUAACCUUCCUCCCGAUCCGUCCCCGGCAUAGGAGGGGCUGGGGGAUACAAAGGAGCCUGGGAAGGGGAAUGCGAAUUCUUCUGUACAAAGGAAGCUCAGAGCCCCGUGGAGGCUUGGGGACGGUGGAAAGCUUUAAAGAAGCGUGGUUUGCCGCUCCGGUCUCAUAUGCGAAAAUGAGAAGGAAAAAGUGAGAAAGGAAUGAAAAGAUCGUGCAAAUGAGCUCAGGUGUUGCUGAAGCUGCGUCCAGAAGAGGAAAGAACCGCUUUGCUACAUGCUGCUGAAAAACUUCCUGCCUUCCUGAUGUGCCCGCGCCGCUCAAAAUAUCCCCGGGUCGCUUUGGGAUCUCACACCCCUCCCGAGAGCACGCUGGCAAGCUGUUUACGCCAGACUGGUAUAUACGCUUCUGCUUUGAAAGAGAGCCUCUUCUGAGGUUGAAUAGCUUCUUUCAUUCUUCCGAUUAAAAUUAGAAAUGUUCAUUUUU
This is a non-coding RNA of Anas platyrhynchos (mallard), 5971 nucleotides long. Lineage: Eukaryota; Metazoa; Chordata; Aves; Anseriformes; Anatidae. The record is from RefSeq and is a predicted model, not a curated record.